GGUAAAACCAGCACCUCAAGUGGUCAGGAUGAUUAUUGGGCCUAAAGCAUCCGUAGCCGGCGCUGUAAGUUUUCGGUUAAAUCUGUACGCUCAACGUACAGGCUGCCGGGAAUACUGCAGCGCUAGGGAGUGGGAGAGGUAGACGGUACUCGGUAGGAAGGGGUAAAAUCCUUUGAUCUAUUGAUGACCACCUGUGGCGAAGGCGGUCUACCAGAACACGUCCGACGGUGAGGGAUGAAAGCUGGGGGAGCAAACCGGAUUAGAUACCCGGGUAGUCCCAGCUGUAAACUAUGCAAACUCAGUGAUGCAUUGGCUUGUGGCCAAUGCAGUGCUGCAGGGAAGCCGUUAAGUUUGCCGCCUGGGAAGUACGUACGCAAGUAUGAAACUUAAAGGAAUUGGCG
This 401-nucleotide ribosomal RNA is filed under the name uncultured crenarchaeote. Its description in RNAcentral is "bacterial SSU rRNA". It matches the Rfam family "Archaeal small subunit ribosomal RNA", at positions 469 to 870 of the family's 1478-position model. Lineage: Archaea; Thermoproteati; Thermoproteota. The record is from RNAcentral.